CCUACGGGUGGCAGCAGUGGGGAAUAUUGCGCAAUGGGCGCAAGCCUGACGCAGCAACGCCGCGUGAAGGAAGAAGGCUUUCGGGUUGUAAACUUCUUUUCUCAGGGACGAAGAUAGUGACGUUACCUGAGGAAUAAGCCACGGCUAACUACGUGCCAGCAGCCGCGGUAAUACGUGGGGGGCAAGCGUUAUGCGGAUUUAUUGGGUGGAAGGGGGGUGUCGGCGGGAGCGCAAGGUAGAUGGGAAAACUCCGGGCUUAACCCUCAGCCUGACUUUGACACCGUGUUGCUUGAGUGCUGGAGAGGCAAGCGGAAUUCCGGGUGUAGCGGUGAAAUGCGUAGAUAUACGGAGGAACACCAGUGGCGAAGGCGGAUUGCUGGACAGUAACUGACGCUGAGGCGCGAAAGCGUGGGGAGCGAACAGGAUUAGAUACCCCAGUAGUC
This 443-nucleotide ribosomal RNA is filed under the name uncultured bacterium. RNAcentral describes it as "partial 16S ribosomal RNA". It matches the Rfam family "Bacterial small subunit ribosomal RNA", at positions 338 to 795 of the family's 1533-position model. The record is from RNAcentral.